Non-coding RNA from Arachis ipaensis, 427 nucleotides. The record is from RefSeq and is a predicted model, not a curated record. Lineage: Eukaryota; Viridiplantae; Streptophyta; Magnoliopsida; Fabales; Fabaceae.
AGGUUAUUAGCACCUGUGGAGUCAAAAACAAAAUUGAUUUUCUGUCACUUUCAUAUAAUCGUCAUGCCGAAGAUGUUCGCCAGGCCCGUGAAUUCCUUUCCAAAUUGGGUGAUCUCAGCCAGACCCAAAUUUUUGCUAAGAUUGAAAUGUUGAGGGCCUGACCCAUUUUGAUGAGAUUCUACGAGAAGCUGAUGGUAUUAUCCUAUCUCAUGGUAAUUUGGGCAUUGGUCUUCCACCAGAGAAGGUUAGUUUUGCCUUUGAAAUUCAUUUUGUUGUUUGAAUGACUCAUGUUGUGGGUGUAAAUAGCUAUGUUUGGGGUCAUGUGGAUAAUGCAUUUGAUAUUUGAAUAAAUUAAAACAAAUGGAUGCUUCCAUAUGUUUAAAAAAGGUUUAAAAUAGUGCAUCUAAUGUUACAAAUUUUCUUUGAA